This 250-nucleotide ribosomal RNA is filed under the name uncultured bacterium. RNAcentral's name for it is "partial 16S ribosomal RNA". It matches the Rfam family "Bacterial small subunit ribosomal RNA", at positions 524 to 773 of the family's 1533-position model. The record is from RNAcentral.
AACGUGAGUGGCAAGCGUUAUCCGGAAUUACUGGGCGUAAAGGGCGUGUAGGUGGUACUACAAGUCAUAGGUAAAAACACUGAGCUUAACUCAGCUGAAGCCUAUGAAACUAUAGAACUAGAGUAUAGGAUAGGAAGAUGGAAUUAUUACUGUAGCGGUGGAAUGCGUAGAUAGUAAUAGGAAGGCCGACGACGAAGGUAAUCUUCUGGACUAAUACUGACACUGAGGCGCGAAAGCUAGGGGAGCAAAC